This 416-nucleotide ribosomal RNA is filed under the name Piscirickettsia salmonis AUSTRAL-005. RNAcentral describes it as "bacterial LSU rRNA". It matches the Rfam family "Bacterial large subunit ribosomal RNA", at positions 2515 to 2925 of the family's 2925-position model. The record is from RNAcentral. Lineage: Bacteria; Pseudomonadati; Pseudomonadota; Gammaproteobacteria; Thiotrichales; Piscirickettsiaceae.
UGUUUGGCACCUCGAUGUCGGCUCAUCUCAUCCUGGGGCUGUAGCAGGUCCCAAGGGUAUGGCUGUUCGCCAUUUAAAGAGGUACGCGAGCUGGGUUUAGAACGUCGUGAGACAGUUCGGUCCCUAUCUGCCGUGGACGUUGGAGAUUUGAGAGGGGUUGCUCCUAGUACGAGAGGACCGGAGUGAACGAACCUCUGGUGUUCCGGUUGUGUCGCCAGACGCAUUGCCGGGUAGCUAUGUUCGGAAUAGAUAACCGCUGAAAGCAUCUAAGCGGGAAGCUAGCCUCAAGAUGAGAUCUCCCUGAGGGCUUGACCCUCCUAAAGGCUCGUCUAAGACUAAGACGUUGAUAGGUUGGAUGUGGAAGUGCAGUAAUGUAUGAAGCUAACCAAUACUAAUUCGCCGUGAGGCUUGGUCAU